Molecule: transfer RNA, 91 nt
Filed under: Gammaproteobacteria bacterium
Lineage: Bacteria; Pseudomonadati; Pseudomonadota; Gammaproteobacteria
Also listed under: 1 other name
Description: tRNA-Ser
Rfam family: tRNA
About the family: Transfer RNA (tRNA) molecules are approximately 80 nucleotides in length. Their secondary structure includes four short double-helical elements and three loops (D, anti-codon, and T loops). Further hydrogen bonds mediate the characteristic L-shaped molecular structure. tRNAs have two regions of fundamental functional importance: the anti-codon, which is responsible for specific mRNA codon recognition, and the 3' end, to which the tRNAs corresponding amino acid is attached (by aminoacyl-tRNA synthetases). tRNAs cope with the degeneracy of the genetic code in two manners: having more than one tRNA (with a specific anti-codon) for a particular amino acid; and 'wobble' base-pairing, i.e. permitting non-standard base-pairing at the 3rd anti-codon position.
Source: RNAcentral
GGAGAGGUGGCCGAGCGGCUGAAGGCGCUCCCCUGCUAAGGGAGUAUGGGCUAAUCCCCCAUCGAGGGUUCAAAUCCCUCCCUCUCCGCCA